AGUGAACGCUGGCGGUAGGCCUAACACAUGCAAGUCGAACGGCAGCACAGUAAGAGCUUGCCCUUACGGGUGGCGAGUGGCGGACGGGUGAGGAAUACAUCGGAAUCUACUUUUUCGUGGGGGAUAACGUAGGGAAACUUACGCUAAUACCGCAUACGACCUACGGGUGAAAGCAGGGGAUCUUCGGACCUUGCGCGAUUGAAUGAGCCGAUGUCGGAUUAGCUAGUUGGCGGGGUAAAGGCCCACCAAGGCGACGAUCCGUAGCUGGUCUGAGAGGAUGAUCAGCCACACUGGAACUGAGACACGGUCCAGACUCCUACGGGAGGCAGCAGUGGGGAAUAUUGGACAAUGGGCGCAAGCCUGAUCCAGCCAUACCGCGUGGGUGAAGAAGGCCUUCGGGUUGUAAAGCCCUUUUGUUGGGAAAGAAAAGCAGCAGGUUAAUACCCCGCUGUUCUGACGGUACCCAAAGAAUAAGCACCGGCUAACUUCGCG
This 492-nucleotide ribosomal RNA is filed under the name uncultured bacterium. RNAcentral's name for it is "partial 16S ribosomal RNA". It matches the Rfam family "Bacterial small subunit ribosomal RNA", at positions 29 to 507 of the family's 1533-position model. The record is from RNAcentral.